GCCAUGCAUGUCUAAGUAUAAGCAACUAUACUGUGAAACUGCGAAUGGCUCAUUAAAUCAGUUAUCGUUUAUUUGAUAGUACCUUUACCUGGAUAACCGUGGUAAUUCUAGAGCUAAUACAUGCUAAAAACCUCGACUUCGGAAGGGGUGUAUUUAUUAGAUAAAAAACCAAUGCCCUUCGGGGCUCCUUGGUGAAUCAUAAUAACUUAACGAAUCGCAUGGCCUUGCGCCGGCGAUGGUUCAUUCAAAUUUCUGCCCUAUCAACUUUCGAUGGUAAGAUAGAGGCUUACCAUGGUCUUAACGGGUAACGGGGAAUUAGGGUUCUAUUCCGGAGAGGGAGCCUGAGAAACGGCUACCACAUCCAAGGAAGGCAGCAGGCGCGCAAAUUACCCAAUCCCGACACGGGGAGGUAGUGACAAUAAAUACUGAUACGGGGCUCUUUUGGGUCUCGUAAUUGGAAUGAGUACAAUCUAAAUCCCUUAACGAGGAACAAUUGGAGGGCAAGUCUGGUGGAGGAACAAUUGGAGGGCAAGUCUGGUGCCAGCAGCCGCGGUAAUUCCAGCUCCAAUAGCGUAUAUUAAAGUUGUUGCCGUUAAAAAGCUCGUAGUUGAACCUUGGGCCUGGCUGACCUGUCCUCCUAAUCGAGCGCACGGGUUCGGUCGGGCCUUUCCUUCUAGGGAACCCCAUGCCCUUCACUGGGUGUGGUGGGGAACUAGGAC
RNAcentral lists this ribosomal RNA (719 nucleotides) under Chaetothyriales sp. RNAcentral's name for it is "bacterial SSU rRNA". It matches the Rfam family "Eukaryotic small subunit ribosomal RNA", at positions 48 to 748 of the family's 1831-position model. Lineage: Eukaryota; Fungi; Ascomycota; Eurotiomycetes; Chaetothyriales. The record is from RNAcentral.